This 440-nucleotide ribosomal RNA is filed under the name uncultured bacterium. RNAcentral describes it as "partial 16S ribosomal RNA". It matches the Rfam family "Bacterial small subunit ribosomal RNA", at positions 338 to 795 of the family's 1533-position model. The record is from RNAcentral.
CCUACGGGCGGCAGCAGUAGGGAAUAUUGCUCAAUGGGCGAAACCCUGAAGCAGCAACGCCGCGUGGAGGAUGAAGGUUUUAGGAUUGUAAACUCCUUUUGUUCGGGAAGAUUAUGACGGUAUCUAUCGCAUAAUCACCGGCUAACUCCGUCACAGCAGCCGCGGUAAUACGGAGGGUGCAAGCGUUACGCGGAAUCACUGGGCGUAAAGCGUGCGUAGGCGGGGGAAUAAGUCAGAUGUGAAAUCCGUUAGCUUAACCACAGAACUGCAUUUGAAACUGUGACUCUGGAGUGUGGGAGAGGUAGGUGGAAUUCUUGGUGUAGGGGUGAAAUGCGUAGAGAUCAAGAGGAAUACUCAUUGCGAAGGCGGCCUCCUGGACCAUUACUGACGCUGAUGCACGAAAGCGUGGGGAGCAAACAGGAUUAGAUACCCGAGUAGUC